GUCCGCCAUAUUGAGGGCUGGUCCAAAGCAAUCAGGGCGGAGGCGUAGUGGGUUAUAAAAGCCUCCGACAGCGAGUUUGCAUGGAUGCAGGCUUGAUAAUCUCACUCCACAGGUGUGCAACCGUUUUUCGGGCAUGGAGGAAACAACGUCAUACAAAUGGACUGUGGUAAAAACCAAGGCACUUAUUGCUUUAAGGAUGGAAAAGGACGACCUGUUCUGAAAAAAACGCAAUGCUGCCAAAGAAGCAUGGGAGUCAAUCAUUAAGGAACUGGACCUUGGGCAACAUGUGUCUCACAAACAGGCCUCCAAGAAAUGGGAGAACCUAAAAAAGAAAUACAAGGAACUUAAAAGGCCAAGGACUGGAACAGGGACUGAUCAGGGGGAAGAAACCCCUGCAACAUGGCCCUUCUUCAUGGCCAUAGGUGCAAGGCCUUCAAUUAGUCCUCCUGUCCUUGUUGCCUCAGCCUUGGCAAACCCCACAAUCCUCUUUGAUCCGGAGGCUGCUUCCUGCUCCUCUUCCUUCCCCCCCCCCCAAAUGUGGCUGAUGAUCCAGACCCCUCACCACCCUCAUCACUGUCUGAGGCUGGAACCACCCAGCAGCCCCCCCCCCCCAAAAAAGAAAAGGUGCUAUGGGAGUGCUGGAGUGCCUAGAACGCGAGGCAGAAAAAGAGGACGAACGCCACAGACAAAUAAUGCAGCACUCAGAUACAUUUCUAACCCUGUUCGAAAAAAUGGUCGACAAAAUGUGAUUUAUUUUUUCCCCCCCACCAUUGGCCAUUUCUAUGUUGAUUAUUGAUGUUACUUAAAAGACUUGUUUUUGUUCGCUUGUAUUAUUUAUUUGGAAGACAAUAAACCUAAUUUAACGU
This is a long non-coding RNA of Gymnodraco acuticeps, 866 nucleotides long. RefSeq lists it as uncharacterized. The record is from RefSeq and is a predicted model, not a curated record. NCBI's taxonomy places the organism in Eukaryota, Metazoa, Chordata, Actinopteri, Perciformes, Bathydraconidae. The transcript has 4 exons.